CGCGGUGGAUUUCGAACAGACCCGUUAGGGACCAUGAGAACAAAAGAAACUCGACCGCAUGAACUCGCUUUUGCAUGACUGGGAUGUGUCUUGGCUAAUGUGUCUUGGCUAAUGUGUCUUGGCUAAUGUGUUUUGGCUAAUGUGUCUUGGCUAAGGUGUCUUGGCUAAUGUGUCUUGGCUAAUGUGUCUUGGCUAAUUUGUCUUGGCUAAGGUGUCUUGGCUAAUGUGUCUUGGCUAAUGUGUCUUGGCUAAUGUGUCUUGGCUAAUGUGUCUUGGCUAAUGUGUCUUGGCUAAGGUGUUUUGGCUAAUGUGUCUUGGCUAAUGUGUCUUGGCUAAUGUGUCUUGGCUAAUGUGUCUUGGCUAAGGUGUCUUGGCUAAUGUGUCUUGGCUAAUGUGUCUUGGCUAAGGUGUCUUGGCUAAGGUGUCUCGGCUAAUGUUUCUUGGCUAAUGUGUCUUGGCUAAGGUGUCUUGGCUAAGGUGUCUUGACUAAUGUGUCUUGGCUAAGGUGUCUUGGCUAAGGUGUCUUGGCUAAUGUGUCUUGGCUAAUGUGUCUUGGCUAAUGUGUCUUGGCUAAGGUGUCUUGGCUAAUGUGUCUUGGCUAAGGUGUCUUGGCUAAUGUGUCUCGGCUAAUGUGUCUUGGCUAAGGUGUCUCGGCUAAGGUGUCUUGGCUAAGGUGUCUUGGCUAAUGUGUCUUGGCUAAUGUGUCUUGGCUAAGGUGUCUUGGCUAAUGUGUCUCGGCUAAUGUGUCUUGGCUAAGGUGUCUUGGCUAAGGUGUCUUGGCUAAGGUGUCUUGGCUAAUGUGUCUUGGCUAAUGUGUCUUGGCUAAGGUGUCUUGGCUAAUGUGUCUUGGCUAAUGUGCCUUGGCUAAGGUGUCUUGGCUAAGGUGUCUUGGCUAAUGUGUCUUGGCUAAUGUGUCUUGGCUAAGGUGUCUUGGCUAAUGUGUCUUGGCUAAUGUGUCUUGGCUAAGGUGUCUUGGCUAAGGUGUCUCGGCUAAUGUUUCUUGGCUAAUGUGUCUUGGCUAAGGUGUCUUGGCUAAUGUGUCUUGGCUAAUGUGUCUUGGCUAAGGUGUCUUGGCUAAUGUGUCUCGGCUAAUGUGUCUUGGCUAAGGUGUCUUGGCUAAGGUGUCUUGGCUAAGGUGUCUUGGCUAAUGUGUCUUGGCUAAUGUGUCUUGGCUAAGGUGUCUUGGCUAAUGUGUCUUGGCUAAUGUGCCUUGGCUAAUGUGUCUUGGCUAAGGUGUCUUGGCUAAUGUGUCUUGGCUAAGGUGUCUUGGCUAAUGUGUCUUGGCUAAUGUGUCUUGGCUAAUUUGUCUUGGCUAAUGUGUCUUGGCUAAUGUGUCUUGGCUAAUGUGUCUUGGCUAAGGUGUCUUGGCUAAUGUGUCUUGGCUAAUGUGUCUUGGCUAAUUUGUCUUGGCUAAGGUGUCUUGGCUAAUGUGUCUUGGCUAAUGUGUCUUGGCUAAUGUGUCUUGGCUAAUGUGUCUUGGCUAAUGUGUCUUGGCUAAGGUGUCUUGGCUAAUGUGUCUUGGCUAAUGUGUCUUGGCUAAUUUGUCUUGGCUAAGGUGUCUUGGCUAAUGUGUCUUGGCUAAUGUGUCUUGGCUAAUGUGUCUUGGCUAAUGUGUCUUGGCUAAUGUGUCUUGGCUAAGGUGUUUUGGCUAAUGUGUCUUGGCUAAUGUGUCUUGGCUAAUGUGUCUUGGCUAAUGUGUCUUGGCUAAGGUGUCUUGGCUAAUGUGUCUUGGCUAAUGUGUCUUGGCUAAGGUGUCUUGGCUAAGGUGUCUUGGCUAAUGUGUCUUGGCUAAUGUGUCUUGGCUAAUGUGUCUUGGCUAAGGUGUCUUGGCUAAUGUGUCUUGGCUAAUGUGUCUUGGCUAAGGUGUCUUGGCUAAGGUGUCUCGGCUAAUGUUUCUUGGCUAAUGUGUCUUGGCUAAGGUGUCUUGGCUAAGGUGUCUUGACUAAUGUGUCUUGGCUAAGGUGUCUUGGCUAAGGUGUCUUGGCUAAUGUGUCUUGGCUAAUGUGUCUUGGCUAAUGUGUCUUGGCUAAGGUGUCUUGGCUAAUGUGUCUUGGCUAAGGUGUCUUGGCUAAUGUGUCUCGGCUAAUGUGUCUUGGCUAAGGUGUCUUGGCUAAGGUGUCUUGGCUAAGGUGUCUUGGCUAAUGUGUCUUGGCUAAUGUGUCUUGGCUAAGGUGUCUUGGCUAAUGUGUCUUGGCUAAUGUGCCUUGGCUAAGGUGUCUUGGCUAAGGUGUCUUGGCUAAUGUGUCUUGGCUAAUGUGUCUUGGCUAAGGUGUCUUGGCUAAUGUGUCUUGGCUAAUGUGUCUUGGCUAAGGUGUCUUGGCUAAGGUGUCUCGGCUAAUGUUUCUUGGCUAAUGUGUCUUGGCUAAGGUGUCUUGGCUAAUGUGUCUUGGCUAAUGUGUCUUGGCUAAGGUGUCUUGGCUAAUGUGUCUCGGCUAAUGUGUCUUGGCUAAGGUGUCUUGGCUAAGGUGUCUUGGCUAAGGUGUCUUGGCUAAUGUGUCUUGGCUAAUGUGUCUUGGCUAAGGUGUCUUGGCUAAUGUGUCUUGGCUAAUGUGCCUUGGCUAAUGUGUCUUGGCUAAGGUGUCUUGGCUAAUGUGUCUUGGCUAAUGUGUCUUGGCUAAGGUGUCUUGGCUAAUGUGUCUUGGCUAAUGUGUCUUGGCUAAGGUGUCUUGGCUAAGGUGUCUCGGCUAAUGUUUCUUGGCUAAUGUGUCUUGGCUAAGGUGUCUUGGCUAAUGUGUCUUGGCUAAUGUGUCUUGGCUAAGGUGUCUUGGCUAAUGUGUCUUGGCUAAUGUGUCUUGGCUAAUGUGUCUUGGCUAAUGUGUCUUGGCUAAGGUGUCUUGGCUAAUGUGUCUUGGCUAAGGUGUCUUGGCUAAUGUGUCUCGGCUAAUGUGUCUUGGCUAAGGUGUCUUGGCUAAGGUGUCUUGGCUAAGGUGUCUUGGCUAAUGUGUCUUGGCUAAUGUGUCUUGGCUAAGGUGUCUUGGCUAAUGUGUCUUGGCUAAUGUGUCUUGGCUAAUGUGUCUUGGCUAAGGUGUCUUGGCUAAUGUGUCUUGGCUAAUGUGUCUUGACUAAUGUGUCUUGGCUAAGGUGUCUUGGCUAAUGUGUCUUGGCUAAUGUGUCUUGGCUAAUGUGUCUUGGCUAAUGUGUCUUGGCUAAGGUGUCUUGGCUAAUGUGUCUUGGCUAAGGUGUCUUGGCUAAUGUGUCUCGGCUAAUGUGUCUUGGCUAAGGUGUCUUGGCUAAGGUGUCUUGGCUAAUGUGUCUUGGCUAAUGUGUCUUGGCUAAUGUGCCUUGGCUAAUGUGUCUUGGCUAAGGUGUCUUGGCUAAUGUGUCUUGGCUUAUGUGUCUUGGCUAAUGUGUCUUGGCUAAUGUGUCUUGGCUAAUGUGUGUUGGCUAAGGUGUCUUGGCUAAGGUGUCUUGGCUAAUGUGUCUUGGCUAAUGUGUCUUGGCUAAUGUGUCUUGGCUAAUGUGUCUUGGCUAAGGUGUCUUGGCUAAGGUGUCUUGGCUAAUGUGUCUUGGCUAAUGUGUCUUGACUAAUGUGUCUUGGCUAAGGUGUCUUGGCUAAUGUGUCUUGGCUAAUGUGUCUUGGCUAAUGUGUCUUGGCUAAUGUGUCUUGGCUAAGGUGUCUUGGCUAAUGUGUCUUGGCUAAGGUGUCUUGGCUAAUGUGUCUCGGCUAAUGUGUCUUGGCUAAGGUGUCUUGGCUAAGGUGUCUUGGCUAAUGUGUCUUGGCUAAUGUGUCUUGGCUAAUGUGCCUUGGCUAAUGUGUCUUGGCUAAGGUGUCUUGGCUAAUGUGUCUUGGCUUAUGUGUCUUGGCUAAUGUGUCUUGGCUAAUGUGUCUUGGCUAAUGUGUGUUGGCUAAGGUGUCUUGGCUAAGGUGUCUUGGCUAAUGUGUCUCGGCUAAUGUGUCUUGGCUAAUGUGUCUUGGCUAAUGUGUCUUGGCUAAGGUGUCUUGGCUAAGGUGUCUUGGCUAAUGUGUCUUGGCUGAGGUGUCUUGGCUAAUGUGUCUUGGCUAAUGUGUCUUGGCUAAUGUGUCUUGGCUAAGGUGUCUUGGCUAAUGUGUCUUGGCUAAUGUGUGUUGGCUAAGGUGUCUUGGCUAAUGUGUCUUGGCUAAUGUGUCUUGGCUAAGGUGUCUUAGCUAAGGUGUCUUGGCUAAGGUGUCUUGGCUAAGGUGUCUUGGCUAAUGUGUCUUGGCUAAUGUGUCUUGGCUAAGGUGUCUUGGCUAAUGUGUCUUGGCUAAUGUGUCUUGGCUAAUGUGUCUUGGCUAAGGUGUCUUGGCUAAGGUGUCUUGGCUAAGGUGUCUUGGCUAAGGUGUCUUGGCUAAUGUGGCUUGGCUAAUGUGUCUUGGCUAAGGUGUCUUGGCUAAUGUGUCUUGGCUAAUGUGUCUUGGCUAAGGUGUCUUGGCUAAUGUGUCUUGGCUAAUGUGUCUUGGCUAAUGUGUCUUGGCUAAUGUGUCUUGGCUAAGGUGUCUUGGCUAAGGUGUCUUGGCUAAUGUGUCUUGGCUAAUGUGUCUUGGCUAAGGUGUCUUGGCUAAGGUGUCUUGGCUAAGGUGUCUUGGCUAAUGUGUCUCGGCUAAUGUGUCUUGGCUAAUGUGUCUUGGCUAAUGUGUCUUGGCUAAGGUGUCUUGGCUAAUGUGUCUUGGCUAAUGUGUCUUGGCUAAUGUGUCUUGGCUAAUGUGUCUUGGCUAAGGUGUCUUGGCUAAGGUGUCUUGGCUAAUGUGUCUUGGCUGAUGUGUCGUGGCUGAUGUGUCUUGGCUAAUGUGUCUUGGCUAAGGUGUCUUGGCUAAGGUGUCUUGGCUAAUGUGUCUUGGCUAAGGUGUCUUGGCUAAUGUGUCUCGGCUAAUGUGUUUUGGCUAAGGUGUCUUGGCUAAUGUGUCUUGGCUAAUGUGCCUUGGCUAAUGUGUCUUGGCUAAGGUGUCUUGGCUAAUGUGUCUUGGCUAAGGUGUCUUGGCUAAUGUGUCUUGGCUAAUGUGUCUUGGCUAAUGUGUCUUGGCUAAGGUGUCUUGGCUAAGGUGUCUUGGCUAAGGUGUCUUGGCUAAGAUGUCUUGGCUAAUGUGUCUUGGCUAAUGUGUCUUGGCUAAUGUGUCUUGGCUAAUGUGUCUUGGCUAAGGUGUCUUGGCUAAUGUGUCUUUGCUGAGGUGUCUUGGCUAAGGUGUCUUGGCUAAUGUGUCUUGGCUAAUGUGUGUUGGCUAAGGUGUCUUGGCUAAUGUGUCUUGGCUAAUGUGUCUUGGCUAAGGUGUCUUAGCUAAGGUGUCUUGGCUAAGGUGUCUUAGCUAAGGUGUCUUGGCUAAUGUGUCUUGGCUAAUGUGUCUUGGCUAAUGUGUCUUGGCUAAGGUGUCUUGGCUAAGAUGUCUUGGCUAAUGUGUCUUGGCUGAUGUGUCUUGGCUAAUGUGUCUUGGCUAAUGUGUCUUGGCUAAGGUGUCUUGGCUAAGGUGUCUUGGCUAAUGUGUCUUGGCUAAUGUGGCAUGGCUAAUGUGUCUUGGCUAAGGUGUCUUGGCUAAUGUGUCUUGGCUAAUGUGUCUUGGCUAAGGUGUCUUGGCUAAUGUGUCUUGGCUAAUGUGUCUUGGCUAAUGUGUCUUGGCUAAGGUGUCUUGGCUAAGGUGUCUUGGCUAAGGUGUCUUGGCUAAGGUGUCUUGGCUAAUGUGUCUCGGCUAAUGUGUCUUUUCUAAUGUGUCUCGGCUAAUGUGUCUUGGCUAAGGUGUCUUGGCUAAGGUGUCUUGGCUAAGGUGUCUUGGCUAAUGUGUCUUGGCUAAUGUGUCUUGGCUAAUGUGUCUUGGCUAAUGUGUCUUGGCUAAUGUGCCUUGGCUAAUGUGUCUUGGCUAAGGUGUCUUGGCUAAUGUGUCUUGGCUAAUGUGUCAUGGCUAAGGUGUCUUGGCUAAGGUUUCUUGGCUAAGGUGUCUUGGCUAAUGUGUCUUGGCUAAGGUGUCUUGGCUAAUGUGUCUUGGCUAAUGUGUCUUGGCUAAUGUGUCUUGGCUAAUGUGUCUUGGCUAAUGUGUCUUGGCUAAGGUGUCUUGGCUAAGGUGUCUUGGCUAAGGUGUCUUGGCUAAGGUGUCUUGGCUAAUGUGUCUUGGCUAAUGUGUCUUGGCUAAUGUGUCUUGGCUAAUGUGUCUUGGCUAAGGUGUCUUGGCUAAUGUGUCUUGGCUAAUGUGUCUUGGCUAAUGUGUCUAGGCUAAUGUGUCUUGGCUAAUGUGUCAUGGCUAAGGUGUCUUGGCUAAGGUGUCUUGGCUAAUGUGUCUUGGCUAAUGUGUCUUGGCUAAUGUGUCUUGGCUAAGGUGUCUUGGCUAAGGUGUCUUGGCUAAGGUGUCUUGGCUAAUGUGUCUUGGCUAAUGUGUCUUGGCUAAUGUGUCUUGGCUAAUGUGUCUUGGCUAAGGUGUCUUGGCUAAUGUGUCUUGGCUAAUGUGUCUUGGCUAAGGUGUCUUGGCUAAGGUGUCUCGGCUAAUGUGUCUUGGCUAAUGUGUCUUGGCUAAGGUGUCUUGGCUAAGGUGUCUUGGCUAAGGUGUCUUGGCUAAGGUGUCUUGGCUAAGGUGUCUUGGCUAAUGUGUCUUGGCUAAUGUGUCUUGGCUAAUGUGUCUUGGCUAAGGUGUCUUGGCUAAGGUGUCUUGGCUAAGGUGUCUUGGCUAAGGUGUCUUGGCUAAGGUGUCUUGGCUAAGGUGUCUUGGCUAAUGUGUCUCGGCUAAAGUGUCUUGGCUAAGGUGUCUUGGCUAAGGUGUCUUGGCUAAGGUGUCUUGGCUAAGGUGUCUUGGCUAAUGUGUCUCGGCUAAAGUGUCUUGGCUAAGGUGUCUUGGCUAAGGUGUCUUGGCUAAGGUGUCUUGGCUAAGGUGUCUUGGCUAAGGUUUCUUGGCUAAAGUGUCUUGGCUAAUGUGUCUUGGCUAAGGUGUCUUGGCUAAGGUGUCUUGGCUAAAGUGUCUUGGCUAAUGUGUCUUGGCUAAGGUGUCUUGGCUAAGGUGUCUUGGCUAAAGUGUCUUGGCUAAUGUGUCUUGGCUAAGGUGUCUUGGCUAAUGUGUCUUGGCUAAGGUGUCUUGGCUAAUGUGUCUUGGCUAAGGUGUCUUGGCUAAUGUGUCUCGGCUAAAGUGUC
Long non-coding RNA from Anopheles funestus (African malaria mosquito), 7062 nucleotides. RefSeq lists it as uncharacterized. The transcript is spliced from 3 exons. The record is from RefSeq and is a predicted model, not a curated record. Lineage: Eukaryota; Metazoa; Arthropoda; Insecta; Diptera; Culicidae.